Molecule: ribosomal RNA, 460 nt
Filed under: uncultured bacterium
Lineage: Bacteria
Description: partial 16S ribosomal RNA
Rfam family: Bacterial small subunit ribosomal RNA
Source: RNAcentral
CCUACGGGGGACAGCAGUGAGGAAUAUUGGUCAAUGGACGAGAGUCUGAACCAGCCAAGUAGCGUGAAGGAUGACUGCCCUAUGGGUUGUAAACUUCUUUUAUAUGGGAAUAAAAUGUUCCACGUGUGGGAUUUUGUCUGUACCAUAUGAAUAAGGAUCGACUAACUCCGUGCCAGCAGCCGCGGUAAUACGGAGGAUCCGAGCGUUAUCCGGAUUUAUUGGGUUUAAAGGGAGCGUAGGUGGGUUGUUAAGUCAGUUGUGAAAGUUUGCGGCUCAACCGUAAAAUUGCAGUUGAAACUGGCAGUCUUGAGUACAGUAGAGGUGGGCGGAAUUCGUGGUGUAGCGGUGAAAUGCUUAGAUAUCACGAAGAACUCCGAUUGCGAAGGCAGUUCACUGGACUGCAACUGACACUGAGGCUCGAAAGUGUGGGUAUCAAACAGGAUUAGAUACCCCAGUAGUC